GAUCAGAUCACCGCUAUUGGGGUUCGACUAAGCCAUGCGAGGCGAGAGGGGUUAAGCCCUCGCCGCACUGCUGAGUAACACGUAGUUAACCUGCCCUUAGGUGGGGAAUAAUCUCGAGAAAUUGAGGCUAAUGCCCCAUAGGUUUUGGAUACUGGAAUGUUCUAAAACUGAAAGCUCCGGCGCCUAAGGAUGGGACUGCGGCUUAUCAGGCAGUUGUGAGGGUAAAAUCCUCACAAACCUGUAACGAGUAGGGGCCAUGAGAGUGGGAGCCUCCAGAUGCCUUCUGAGACAUAAAGGCAGGGCCUACGGGUCGCAGCAGGCGCGAAAACUUUCCAAUGCGCUGACGCGUGAGAAGGGAACCUUGAGUGGCUAUGCUUUGCAUAGUCUUUUCCUCAGUCUCGAUCGCUGGGGGAAUAAGCAGUGGGCCAGACGGGUGCCAGCCGCCGCGGUAAUACCCGCGCUGCGAGUGGUGAUCCCGAUUAUUGGGCCUAAAGCGUCCGUAGCCGGCUCGGCAAGUCCUUGGUGAAAUCCUGCAGCUAACUGCAGGGCGUGCUGAGGAUACUACCGGGCUUGGGAUUGGGAGAAAUCUGGGGUAUUCCACGGGUAGGGGUUAAAUCCUUUAACCCGUGGAGGACCGCCUGUGGCGAAGGCGCCAGAUUAGAACAAGUCCGACGGUGAGGGACGAAAGCUGGGGGAGCAACCCGGAUUAGAUACCCGGUUAGUCCCAGCCGUAAACGUUGCCCGCUUGGUGUUGCAUGUCUUAAGUAGAUAUGCAGUGCCGGAGCGUAGGUGUUAAGCGGGCCGCCUGGGGAGUACGUCCGCAAGGAUGAAACUUAAGGGAAUUGGCGGGGGAGCACAGCACACAAGAGG
RNAcentral lists this ribosomal RNA (870 nucleotides) under uncultured archaeon. RNAcentral describes it as "bacterial SSU rRNA". It matches the Rfam family "Archaeal small subunit ribosomal RNA", at positions 1 to 893 of the family's 1478-position model. The record is from RNAcentral.